Molecule: ribosomal RNA, 323 nt
Filed under: uncultured bacterium
Lineage: Bacteria
Description: bacterial SSU rRNA
Rfam family: Bacterial small subunit ribosomal RNA
Source: RNAcentral
GACGAACGCUGGCGGCGUGCUUAACACAUGCAAGUCGAGCGGUAAGGCCCUUUCGGGGUACGACGAGCGGCGAACGGGUGAGUAACACGUGGGUGACCUGCCCUCAGCUCUGGGAUAAGCCUGGGAAACUGGGUCUAAUACCAGAUAUGACUCCAUGACGCAUGUUGUGGGGUGGAAAGCCUUGUGCGGCUGAGGAUGGGCCCGCGGCCUAUCAGCUUGUUGGUGGGGUGANGGCCUACCAAGGCGACGACGGGUAGCCGGCCUGAGAGGGCGACCGGCCGACACUGGGACUGAGACACGGCCCAGACUCCUACGGGAGGCAG